AUGGCGUCGCAGCUUGUCGAGAGCCACCGCACCGGCGCCGAGGUCCACAAAGGGAACGAUAUCUGCAAGCAGAAGACGGUUGAGCUUCUCAAAGAACUCGGCCUCCCGAAAGGUCUCUUUCCUAUGGAUGACAUCGAGGAGGUCGGGCACAAUUGUGAGAGUGGGUUUGUGUGGAUGCUUCAGAAGAAGAAGAACGAGCACACCUUCAAGAAGAUCAACCAGACCGUCUCCUACGACACCGAGGUGACCGCUUUUGUGGAGAAGGGCAAGAUGAAGAAGGUCACCGGGGUCAAGAUUGAGGACCUGUCUUUGGUCGAGGUCUAUAUGGAUGAGUCUUCUGCUGAUAAGGUCACCGUCAAGACCAACACCGGUCUGUCUGACACCCAUGAUGCGACCGUGUUCGCUCUCGGAGAAUAG
RNAcentral lists this ribosomal RNA (417 nucleotides) under Triticum aestivum (bread wheat). RNAcentral describes it as "partial small subunit ribosomal RNA". The record is from RNAcentral. Lineage: Eukaryota; Viridiplantae; Streptophyta; Magnoliopsida; Poales; Poaceae.